GAUGAAGAACGUAGCGAAAUGCGAUAAGUAAUGUGAAUUGCAGAAUUCAGUGAAUCAUCGAAUCUUUGAACGCACAUUGCGCCCGUCAGUAUUCUGGCGGGCAUGCCUGUUCGAGCGUCAUUACGCCCCUCAAGUCCCCUGUGGACUUGGUGUUGGGGAUCGGCGAGGCUGGUUUUCCAGCACAGCCGUCCCUUAAAUUAAUUGGCGGUCUCGCCGUGGCCCUCCUCUGCGCAGUAGUAAAACACUCGCAACAGGAGCCCGGCGCGGUCCACUGCCGUAAAACCCCCCAACUUUUUAUAGUUGACCUCGAAUCAGGUAGGACUACCAGCUGAACUUAAGCAUAUCAAUAAGCGGAGGA
This 358-nucleotide unclassified non-coding RNA is filed under the name soil metagenome. Its description in RNAcentral is "partial contains 5.8S ribosomal RNA, internal transcribed spacer 2, and large subunit ribosomal RNA". The stretch from base 1 to 120 matches the Rfam family "5.8S ribosomal RNA", at positions 35 to 154 of the family's 154-position model. The record is from RNAcentral.